UACGUAGGGUCCAAGCGUUAAUCGGAAUUACUGGGCGUAAAGCGUGUGCAGGCGGUCUCGCAAGUCCGAUGUGAAAUCCCCGGGCUUAACCUGGGAACUGCGUUGGAAACUACGAGGCUCGAGUGCGGCAGAGGGGGGUGGAAUUCCAGGUGUAGCAGUGAAAUGCGUAGAGAUCUGGAGGAACACCGAUGGCGAAGGCAGCCCCCUGGGCCAGCACUGACGCUCAUACACGAAAGCGUGGGGAGCAAACAGGAUUAGAUACCCUGGUAGUCCACGCCCUAAACGAUGGCAACUAGUUGUUGGAGGAUGAACUCCUUUAGUAACGCAGCUAACGCGUGAAGUUGCCCGCCUGGGGAGUACGGUCGCAAGAUUAAAACUCAAAG
This 383-nucleotide ribosomal RNA is filed under the name uncultured bacterium. RNAcentral describes it as "bacterial SSU rRNA". It matches the Rfam family "Bacterial small subunit ribosomal RNA", at positions 524 to 906 of the family's 1533-position model. The record is from RNAcentral.